UACGUAGGGCGCAAGCGUUGUCCGGAAUUAUUGGGCGUAAAGAGCUCGUAGGCGGCUUGUCACGUCGGAUGUGAAAGCCCGAGGCUUAACCUCGGGUCUGCAUUCGAUACGGGCUAGCUAGAGUGUGGUAGGGGAGAUCGGAAUUCCUGGUGUAGCGGUGAAAUGCGCAGAUAUCAGGAGGAACACCGAUGGCGAAGGCAGCUCGCUGGGACGGUACUGACGCUGAGGCACGAAAGCGUGGGGAGCAAACAGG
RNAcentral lists this ribosomal RNA (253 nucleotides) under uncultured bacterium. RNAcentral describes it as "partial 16S ribosomal RNA". It matches the Rfam family "Bacterial small subunit ribosomal RNA", at positions 524 to 776 of the family's 1533-position model. The record is from RNAcentral.